This 253-nucleotide ribosomal RNA is filed under the name uncultured bacterium. Its description in RNAcentral is "partial 16S ribosomal RNA". It matches the Rfam family "Bacterial small subunit ribosomal RNA", at positions 524 to 776 of the family's 1533-position model. The record is from RNAcentral.
UACAGAGGGUGCGAGCGUUAAUCGGAAUUACUGGGCGUAAAGCGUGCGUAGACGGCUAUCUAAGUCGGGUGUGAAAGCCCCGGGCUCAACCUGGGAAUUGCAUUCGAGACUGAAUAGCUAGGGUGCGGUAGAGGGAAGCGGAAUUUCCGGUGUAGCGGUGAAAUGCGUAGAUAUCGGAAGGGACAUCAGUGGCGAAAGCGGCUUCCUGGACCAGCACCGACGUUCAGGCACGAAAGCGUGGGGAGCAAACAGG